Non-coding RNA from Theobroma umbraticum, 1497 nucleotides. The record is from RefSeq and is a predicted model, not a curated record. NCBI's taxonomy places the organism in Eukaryota, Viridiplantae, Streptophyta, Magnoliopsida, Malvales, Malvaceae.
UCAUUUGAAUUGAUACUUGGUAUUCUCAAUCAGCAUCAUGCUCGUGUUUAUCAUCAACGCACUUUCUUGUCAAUAUUAGUCUUUUGGAAUGUGUGAGUACGUUAAGGUAUACGAGUUGCAAUAAUAAGCCCUGCCUUUUUUUGAAGCACUUGGGUUUGCUAACAUUCGUGCAGCCUAUUAAGAGCACAAGUGAACAGCUGUUUGCUCAAUGCAUUUUUCCCAAAAAUCUGCACAUUCAGCAUCCAAUCAAAAGGGUUUGAGAGCCUAAAGCGGCAAUUGCAUACUUCGACCGAUGAUGAUGAUUAUUUUGUCGAAUUAGGCUUACCAGUGGAAGGUGGAGGUGUGAUUCCAAAACUGAAGACAGAAAAGCCUGAACCUUUUGGUGUAAGCAUUCAAGGCAGUUCCUAAACUCCUUCCCACCCUUCUGUCCCUCUAUGGCAGGUAUGUCUUAGUGGCUGCAUUUAUGUUGGGUGUUUUCCUGUUGACGUCUCUCUACAAAUAAAUUUUCAUGAUUAGCUCUGGUUCCCAAGAUGUCAAAUGUGCUCUGACUUGAGUGUAGUCUAAAAUCUCCAUUUGACGUAGAGAAUCAGUGGUACCAAAAGGAAACCCUAUGUCUCAUUUUCUAAGGCAGACAGCUGCCCUAGCAUGAAGGAUAUAUCACUAGAAGUGGGGAACUCUUCUCUAGUUCCUUCUCUAGACUUUGAGAACUGCAAAGAUGAAGAAUGUACCUUCAAGUUCAGAACUUCACGUUCUGUUAUGAUUAAGAAUGUACCAUCUAUAAUCAAGCUUCUCCAGUUGAAGGAGGCAAUGUCAGUUUUUGGCAAGGUCUCAAAGGCUUCCAAGAGGUCAGUUCCAAAUGGACUUGAUUGUUGUGACAUUGAAGUUAAGAAAUGUGGAAUCAAGAAACACUGCACUAUUAAUUGGCAGUAUAACAUUAAAGAACUUCAGUCUCCCAAUUUCCUUGCAGCACUCGUUAGAAACUGAUACUAUUACAAUUAGCAACAUCAGCUCAGAGACUGCAGAUUCAGCAAUACACUCUACAUGCACAUUAUGUGGUCGUUUGGAGGGGCUGGUGAGGACAAAAGAGGAUUUUGUGGAUGCCAUAUUUAGUGUGAAGGGUGAGACAGACACAAAAAGUAUAAUAAACAAGUAAGAAAUGUUCAGAGCAGCAUAUUGCUUAUGUUGCAUCUUGGUUAGAAGUCAUGCUUAUCUUCAUAAAUUUUGUCAUAUUUGGUUAUAAUCAUGGUCAUGCAUGCCAUGUCACACUUAAGGUAAGGUGGGAGUGGAACAAGUAUGAAGACUUGAGUCAGUUAUCUAACUGAAUUGAAGUUGUUAAUGAGCUUAUUAGCGAUUUUCUUCGUGGCAAUUUUAGUCGUUUAUUGAGCUUUGCUCUUGUUGCUUCUGUCUGUAAAAUAUUCUUCAGAUGAAAAGGAUAGUAUGCAUGCAUGAGAACAAUUUAGAUUGUUUCGGUGGGGAUCGGUAAUUAAAGAGCCCAUA